AAGUUUUCAAAAUAUAAUGCGUUUGCAAAAAUAUAUACUCCAUAAUUCUAAGGGAUAAUUGCCUAUAUACCCCUUAUACGUUUGAAUAUAUCCGAUUUACCCCUACUUUUUUAUUUCUUUCUAAGAUACCCCUCAUAUGCUCCACCGUUAUUCCAAAAUACUCCCACAGUUAUCCCCUGUUAAACUAAUUCGAGUUAAACAUGGGUUAAAUGUAUACCAGAGUUAAAGCCUAAUUAAAAUACCUAUUUUGUCCCUACCUUAUUAAACUAUUCUUUUAAGUUAUCCUCUCUUUCUCUCCCAACUUAUCAUCUCUUUCUCUCCCAACUUGGGUCCCCGCCGGCCGCCACCCGCCCACCGUGAGCGCCAGCAGCUCACCACCACCACCAACCUCGGUGCCGACUCCUCCGCCUCCACCUCCACCUCCGCCCCCAAGAAGCCUCGCCUCAUUCGCACAAAAAAAAACGGCCCACGAGUCGCCGCUCUCGUCGUCGUCGUCCUCCUCCUCCACCGCCUUGGCCGGCACCGGGAGAAAGAGGGCCGCAACGAUUCGUGCAAAUCUGAUGACUAAUUCAUUAUAGUUAAUUUCUCUAUCCCAAAUCCCAAAUUAAUUAAUGUACAGCACCCUCCUCCUCCUCCUCCUCCUUCUCUCUUGCCGCCGCCCACCACUACCACCUCCCUCUCUC
This 683-nucleotide long non-coding RNA is filed under the name Ananas comosus (pineapple). RNAcentral describes it as "long non-coding RNA (ACOM_LNC013197)". The record is from RNAcentral. Lineage: Eukaryota; Viridiplantae; Streptophyta; Magnoliopsida; Poales; Bromeliaceae.